AAAAUAUCUAGUCCCUAAUCGCUAUUUCAGUAAUGCAGUUGCAAUGCACGUGAACCGUGUUGACAUUUAAAAGCUGAAGUGUGAUGAUGAUUCUUGCUAUUAUUUAAUCUAAAAUUAACUUUAAAAAAAUGUCAUUUCUGAGGUGUAACUACUUUUCCAGGUAGAUGAAUCUGUUUACUGACUUCCAAACAGUAGUGACUCCUGUCUGGUAUCCUUGCGCAUAUUAUGCAAAUGUUGCUGCGGUUGUCAUGACAACAGAUUUAAAUUCAGUGUCGCACAGUCAGGAAGAGAUUCUAGUGCACAAGUCUCAUGGUUUUAGUGUGUACUUGACUUGCAUUUUUAAAUGCAUUAAUGUAACGGCAUUUUUUUUCCUGACAAACCUAAAAUUCCUACGAUCAACAUGCUGUACCCAAAAGAUUUCUUUAAUUAAAUCAUAAGGUAUAAAUUCAUAUAUUUAUAUAGUGUAUAUUGCAGUCUCUGCAAAAUGAUUGAUCAGAACGUGUGGGAACCCGGAGCUCUGCACAUGAAUGUGUGCGUAGAUGCUUUAACAGACGCAUAGGACAAAGAGGAGAACUUUGUAAAUGCAUUGUAAAGAGCUUGAUAUUUGUAUAGUUUCUAUAUCGUACCAGGUCAGAGUAUCGGGAUGUGCAGGUAGAAUAAUUCUACUUCCUGUCUUCCUCCCUAACAAAAAGUGUCUCUGUCGUCUGCACUUGACCUGCGCAGUGCAGGGCUGUUUUAUCUCCUCCUUUAUUAGUAACAGGUUUUUAACGUGUACGGUUCUCUGUCCAGAGCGACAGACAGAUUGGGAUUUUCAUCAUAUAUUGUAGACAGUGCUUUAGUUUUAAUAGUCAGGCUUUCAUGGACAGCUGACGGCCAGAGUUUGUGCAAACUAGUGCCUGAUGUCUGCGUUGAAACUGCGAUCCUGUUGCACUGAUUGUGUAGUUAGAAUUGCACAUUUGUGAUAGUUUUCAAGCCUGAACGUGGCAUACAGCACGUUUCAUCUAGGUUUGCGUGUUUUGUUUCUUAACGUCCCUUUCAUUUCAAGGUCCACGAAUGUUCACGCAAUCAUGCAACCCAUCAGGUUCGGCCUCAGCGGCACCUUUAUGGCAAUCAAGAAGACGUUCUCACUUACCUGUGCUCCUCUUCUCAUAGAUCCAGCUGGGAGGAAGUCUCUAUUUUUGCUUUUUUAAUAUGUUCUCUAGAUCAUAAUUGAGGAAUCAGUGCACUGACGUCUUUUCAGACAUACUGUCUCCAGUCCCACGGAUCGGGUGGUUUACUUUUGUACAUGGCUUUUAGGCUAGCGUGGACUGGCAAGGUUUUCAGAUAUAAUGAAUGAAUCAUAUUGUAAUCAAAGCAUAGCUGCGCACUUGGAGAAUCUACAGUUUUUUCUUUUAUUUUUCUUGGGGAAUUGCACCAUGCUGUUUUGUUGUUUUGUUGUUUUGUUCUCUCUGAUUGGUUGUUUGAAAAUCGGGAAAUAUCAGUGAAUGUACAAUGGUGUGUUUUUUUUUUUCUUCUUGCAGCUCUUUUUCUUGAAUUGGUUAUAAAGUUAACAAUUAACAGUAUAUCUAAUAAAUUUCGAGUCAUGCUUGGUCUUUUA
This is a long non-coding RNA of Carassius carassius (crucian carp), 1597 nucleotides long. RefSeq lists it as uncharacterized. Lineage: Eukaryota; Metazoa; Chordata; Actinopteri; Cypriniformes; Cyprinidae. The transcript is spliced from 2 exons. The record is from RefSeq and is a predicted model, not a curated record.